This is a long non-coding RNA of Biomphalaria glabrata, 1588 nucleotides long. RefSeq lists it as uncharacterized. The record is from RefSeq and is a predicted model, not a curated record. The transcript has 4 exons. NCBI's taxonomy places the organism in Eukaryota, Metazoa, Mollusca, Gastropoda, Planorbidae.
CACGUUUUCAGACAUACACAUAAUUAUACACAAUCAAAUCCAUCAUUACGCUUGCCUUUAUAAAAAGUAUGGUUGUGUGAAUGAAUUCCAAUUGAUCACCAAAUGUAUGUGUGUUUCACAACGUGAUUACGUUUUCAGUAUUCAGUGAAAAAGGGAAAUAGAUUCUCAAAUUAAUUUGCUGCCAUGUCUGCUAAAAAAUCGCUUGGAGUUCUCCUCAUCUUGUCUACACUCAUGGUGAUUGUGUUGUGUGGUCGAAAAGGUUUUGGCUAUAGAUAUGCAAGUAUAAGUUGCAAAGAAGAAUGGAAACAAAGCGAAUACUAUGCCAUAGAUCUCUGUACCCGGUGCCAGUGUUGGUCAAAAUCACUAAAUUCCGCUUAUUGCACAAUAGAAGAUUGUGGGACUCUGACGUGUGAACAAGAAGGUACAGAAAUUUACCAGCCACCGCAUAAGUGUUGUCCGGAAUGUGUACCGGUAACGAUAAGAUUUCGAAACUGAACAAGGUUUAAAAAGAUCAAUAUGAUAUUGUAUGAUAAAAAAAAUGUGUACAAAAUUAUAGGAUUGAACUUUAUAUGUAUAUAUAUUGUAAAAUAAAUCAAUUUUAAUUUUAAAAUAAAUAGGUUGUGUGGCUGAGUGGUAAAACCCUGCUUGGAUAAGUAUAAAUCCCGACACGAGUUGUGUAUCCUGAGGGACUAAAAGAAGCUAUGUAAACUUUCUCCUAGAUCAGGGGUCGGCAACCUUUUGAGUCGGAAGAGCCAAAAAUUACAAUUUACAAAAUUUCAAAGUUUUUAAAGAGCCACAACAUUUUUUCCUGCCAACAAUAAAUAGUAUUAAAUUAAAAAAAAUUUAAUAAAAAAAAAAAACUAAUCUAUUUAUUCCUAAGAAAAAAUAUCUAUUUAUUUUUAUAUAAGUAGCGUUUUACACGGUACUGUCGUAUGGGUAGAUAGAAGAUAGUCAGCACUCCAAAUGCUAACUUCGCCACCUCAUUCUGGAAAACUAUUUCUUGGUUUGAAUAAAAGUGCCUCAACUCAUGGCAUUUCUUUCAAAUCUGUCCACUUUUGUUGCGUUACGUACAUUUCUGGAGCUCCAACUUUUCCAACUUGCUUUUUGACUUUUCCACUUCACAAAUCUUUACUUUUUAAAUAUGUUCUUAAAAUACACCAGUAACAAAUAAAUAAGUUUGUUUUCAACUAUAUGACCUUGAAGCGCUUACGUUACUAGACAAUAUAAAACUUUGAGAAGAUAAUUGGCUUCUAACUCUUCUACUUAAAACAACAAACUCUAAGUCACAGCCAAAGCACGUGGUGAAGACGCCAAAUUGCUUUGCGCUGAAAAGCGAAUAAAAACCUACAUAGAAACGGAGUCAUUUGAGAGCUUCCACAGACUGACGACACUGACGACGCGUGUCACGGGUAAGGGGUGGGGUGAAAAGCGAGUACAAGUGGCUGAAAGAUGGAAUCGGUGUCUAAUCCUCGUUAAUCGAUUCACAACGAAUUUUAAAUGUUUUUGUUGCAAAUUGUUUUUGUUGCCGACUCCGGGUCUAUUGUCCUCUGUUGUUGACACAUGUUCGUAAAUGAAGAAAUUUUUUUAC